GGCCUAACACAUGCAAGUCGAGCGGAUGAGUGGAGCUUGCUCCAUGAUUCAGCGGCGGACGGGUGAGUAAUGCCUAGGAAUCUGCCUAUUAGUGGGGGACAACGUUUCGAAAGGAACGCUAAUACCGCAUACGUCCUACGGGAGAAAGCAGGGGACCUUCGGGCCUUGCGCUAAUAGAUGAGCCUAGGUCGGAUUAGCUAGUUGGUGAGGUAAUGGCUCACCAAGGCGACGAUCCGUAACUGGUCUGAGAGGAUGAUCAGUCACACUGGAACUGAGACACGGUCCAGACUCCUACGGGAGGCAGCAGUGGGGAAUAUUGGACAAUGGGCGAAAGCCUGAUCCAGCCAUGCCGCGUGUGUGAAGAAGGUCUUCGGAUUGUAAAGCACUUUAAGUUGGGAGGAAGGGCAUUAACCUAAUACGUUAGUGUUUUGACGUUACCGACAGAAUAAGCACCGGCUAACUUCGUGCCAGCAGCCGCGGUAAUACGAAGGGUGCAAGCGUUAAUCGGAAUUACUGGGCGUAAAGCGCGCGUAGGUGGUUUGUUAAGUUGGAUGUGAAAGCCCCGGGCUCAACCUGGGAACUGCAUCCAAAACUGGCAAGCUAGAGUAUGGCAGAGGGUGGUGGAAUUUCCUGUGUAGCGGUGAAAUGCGUAGAUAUAGGAAGGAACACCAGUGGCGAAGGCGACCACCUGGGCUAAUACUGACACUGAGGUGCGAAAGCGUGGGGAGCAAACAGGAUUAGAUACCCUGGUAGUCCACGCCGUAAACGAUGUCGACUAGCCGUUGGGAUCCUUGAGAUCUUAGUGGCGCAGCUAACGCAUUAAGUCGACCGCCUGGGGAGUACGGCCGCAAGGUUAAAACUCAAAUGAGUUGACGG
This 876-nucleotide ribosomal RNA is filed under the name uncultured Pseudomonas sp. RNAcentral's name for it is "bacterial SSU rRNA". It matches the Rfam family "Bacterial small subunit ribosomal RNA", at positions 45 to 916 of the family's 1533-position model. The record is from RNAcentral. Lineage: Bacteria; Pseudomonadati; Pseudomonadota; Gammaproteobacteria; Pseudomonadales; Pseudomonadaceae.